This 465-nucleotide ribosomal RNA is filed under the name uncultured bacterium. RNAcentral describes it as "bacterial SSU rRNA". It matches the Rfam family "Bacterial small subunit ribosomal RNA", at positions 38 to 498 of the family's 1533-position model. The record is from RNAcentral.
GGCGGCAUGCCUUACACAUGCAAGUCGAACGGCAGCACGGAGCUUGCUCUGGUGGCGAGUGGCGAACGGGUGAGUAAUAUAUCGGAACGUACCCAGGAGUGGGGGAUAACGUAGCGAAAGUUACGCUAAUACCGCAUACGACCCAAGGGUGAAAGUGGGGGAUCGCAAGACCUCAUGCUCAUGGAGCGGCCGAUAUCUGAUUAGCUAGUUGGUGGGGUAAAGGCCUACCAAGGCAACGAUCAGUAGCUGGUCUGAGAGGACGACCAACCACACUGGAACUGAGACACGGUCCAGACUCCUACGGGAGGCAGCAGUGGGGAAUUUUGGACAAUGGGGGCAACCCUGAUCCAGCAAUGCCGCGUGAGUGAAGAAGGCCUUCGGGUUGUAAAGCUCUUUUGUCAGGGAAGAAAAGGUCGCAGCUAAUAUCUGUGGCUCAUGACGGUACCUGAAGAAUAAGCACCGGCU